UGAGUUGGUACACGGCCCGUACCCCAAACCGACACAGGUGGUCAGGUAGAGAAUACCGAGGCGAUCGAGAGAACUGUGGUUAAGGAACUCGGCAAAAUGCCCCCGUAACUUCGGGAGAAGGGGGACCCGAUCUGGUGACGAUCUUCACGGUCUGAGCUGGGUUGGGUCGCAGAGACCAGAGAGAAGCGACUGUUUACUAAAAACACAGGUCCGUGCGAAGUCGUAAGACGAUGUAUACGGACUGACGCCUGCCCGGUGCCGGAAGGUUAAGAGGACCGGU
RNAcentral lists this ribosomal RNA (280 nucleotides) under Nocardia higoensis. RNAcentral describes it as "partial 23S ribosomal RNA". It matches the Rfam family "Bacterial large subunit ribosomal RNA", at positions 1626 to 1890 of the family's 2925-position model. Lineage: Bacteria; Bacillati; Actinomycetota; Actinomycetes; Mycobacteriales; Nocardiaceae. The record is from RNAcentral.